Salvia miltiorrhiza (redroot sage) is the source of this 384-nucleotide long non-coding RNA. RefSeq lists it as uncharacterized. The record is from RefSeq and is a predicted model, not a curated record. The transcript has 4 exons. Lineage: Eukaryota; Viridiplantae; Streptophyta; Magnoliopsida; Lamiales; Lamiaceae.
GAUUGUGAAGAGUAGCAGCCACGUUGUUUAUUUCUUCCAUAAAAAGAAACCCACCCUCACUUGAUUUUCACCUUCUAAACAGCAAGCUCUCCUCAUCAACAAGCUUCAAUCGAAACCAUACAAGCAAUCCAUACUUGGAGGCUUUGAACGUCAGGAGGAUUAGCACUGCUAUUCCGAUUCAGAGAUAAGGUUAAACGACAGGCUUUGCCUAAAUAGGUUAACGGCUGGUGCUGACGGGGCGAGCUGAGGCUAGGGUUCAACUCCGUGUUUUGACUUCUGCUGUAGAACUAGUUAAUAUAUGUCUUUUGUUUCCUUAAUUUAAGACCGUUAUGUUGUGACUCUAAACAAUAUAUAUACUGUUGAGCCGAGACUUUUAUUUCACAA